Molecule: ribosomal RNA, 466 nt
Filed under: Candidozyma auris
Lineage: Eukaryota; Fungi; Ascomycota; Pichiomycetes; Serinales; Metschnikowiaceae
Description: [Candida] auris partial large subunit ribosomal RNA
Rfam family: Eukaryotic large subunit ribosomal RNA
Source: RNAcentral
UGCCUCAGUAACGGCCGGGUGAAGCGGCAAGAGCUCAACUUUGGAAUCGCUCCGGCGAGUUGUAGUCUGGAGGUGGCCACCACGAGGUGUUCUAGCAGCAGGCAAGUCCUUUGGAACAAGGCGCCAGCGAGGGUGACAGCCCCGUACCUGCUUUUGCUAGUGCUUCCUGUGGCCCACCGACGAGUCGAGUUGUUUGGGAAUGCAGCUCUAAGUGGGUGGUAAAUUCCAUCUAAGGCUAAAUAUUGGCGAGAGACCGAUAGCGAACAAGUACAGUGAUGGAAAGAUGAAAAGCACUUUGAAAAGAGAGUGAAACAGUACGUGAAAUUGUUGAAAGGGAAGGGCUUGCACCCAGACACGGUUUCGGCCGGGCCAGCAUCAAGUAGAACGGGGUUAAAAGACUUGGGGAAUGUAGCUACUUCGGUAGUGUUAUAGCCCUUGGUGAUGACCCCUGUUUUGCUUGAGGACA